AUUGAACGCUGGCGGCAGGCCUAACACAUGCAAGUCGAGCGGAUGAAGGGAGCUUGCUCCUGGAUUCAGCGGCGGACGGGUGAGUAAUGCCUAGGAAUCUGCCUGGUAGUGGGGGAUAACGUCCGGAAACGGGCGCUAAUACCGCAUACGUCCUGAGGGAGAAAGUGGGGGAUCUUCGGACCUCACGCUAUCAGAUGAGCCUAGGUCGGAUUAGCUAGUUGGUGGGGUAAAGGCCUACCAAGGCGACGAUCCGUAACUGGUCUGAGAGGAUGAUCAGUCACACUGGAACUGAGACACGGUCCAGACUCUUACGGGAGGCAGCAGUGGGGAAUAUUGGACAAUGGGCGAAAGCCUGAUCCAGCCAUGCCGCGUAUGUGAAGAAGGUCUUCGGAUUGUAAAGCACUUUAAGUUGGGAGGAAGGGCAGUAAGUUAAUACCUUGCUGUUUUGACGUUACCAACAGAAUAAGCACCGGCUAACUUCGUG
Molecule: ribosomal RNA, 484 nt
Filed under: uncultured bacterium
Lineage: Bacteria
Description: partial 16S ribosomal RNA
Rfam family: Bacterial small subunit ribosomal RNA
Source: RNAcentral